Molecule: long non-coding RNA, 468 nt
Organism: Pocillopora damicornis (cauliflower coral)
Lineage: Eukaryota; Metazoa; Cnidaria; Anthozoa; Scleractinia; Pocilloporidae
Source: RefSeq, a predicted model, not a curated record
CGUUGUUCUAAAUGUUUUGAGCAAAUUUUAGAAGAUAGGGAAUGUUUCGUCUUCGGAUGAACUGUAUGAGGUCAGCAUCAGUUGAAAUUAUAUUCUAUUGAGCGUGGCUUAUAAUUUCAAUGUGGGAAAAUGAGCGAAAAUUGAAAGAAACGACGCUAAACUACUUUGCAUAAGACAUCCUGGUCGAUUUAAGAAUUUACACAUUUGAUGAGUUUGGGCUGUCAGGGCAAAGGAACUGAGGAUUUUAGAAGGAAGUGACUUUUUCAAACCUGGAAGCUACCAUUGUGAAAGCCAUACUAGUGCCUGUAUCUAUCUUUUACUGGCUGACAUCUGAGAAGAAUUCAAGUCCACACUGGCAAUUUGACACAUUGCAGGCAAACACUACAACUGAUGAAUCUUGUAACUCCCAUGAGUGACUAGGACAGAAUUUCUCCUUACAAUAUCAAUACAAUAUCAACCAGAUAAGUG